UACAGGGGGGGCAAGCGUUGUUCGGAAUUACUGGGCGUAAAGGGCUCGUAGGUGGCCAACUAAGUCAGACGUGAAAUCCCUCAGCUUAACUGGGGAACUGCGUCUGAUACUGGAUGGCUUGAGUUUGGGAGAGGGAUGCGGAAUUCCAGGUGUAGCGGUGAAAUGCGUAGAUAUCGAGAGGAACACCUGCGGCGAAGGCGGGUAGCUGGGCCGACACUGACGCUGAGGCGCGAAAGCCAGGGGAGCGAACGGG
This 253-nucleotide ribosomal RNA is filed under the name uncultured bacterium. RNAcentral describes it as "partial 16S ribosomal RNA". It matches the Rfam family "Bacterial small subunit ribosomal RNA", at positions 524 to 776 of the family's 1533-position model. The record is from RNAcentral.